GAGUUUGAUCGUGGCUCAGAAUGGACGCUGGCGGCAGGCCUAAAACAUGCAAGUCGAACGCCCUAGCAAUAGGGAGUGGCGCACGGGUGCGUAACAUGUGGGAAUAUGCCUUUUGGUACGGAACAACGUUUGGAAACGAACGCUAAUGCCGUAUGGUCCCUUCGGGGUAAAGAUUUAUCGCCAAAAGAUUAGCCCGCACUGGAUUAGCUAGUUGGUGAGGUAAUGGCUCACCAAGGCGACGAUCCAUAGCUGGUCUGAGAGGACGAUCAGCCACACUGGGACUGAGACACGGCCCAGACUCCUACGGGAGGCAGCAGUUAGGAAUAUUGGACAAUGGGCGCAAGCCUGAUCCAGCCAUGCCGCGUGAGUGAUGAAGGCCUUCGGUUGUAAGACUCUUUAGCCGAUGAUUAUAAUGACUGUAGUCGG
Molecule: ribosomal RNA, 426 nt
Filed under: uncultured bacterium
Lineage: Bacteria
Description: bacterial SSU rRNA
Rfam family: Bacterial small subunit ribosomal RNA
Source: RNAcentral